RNAcentral lists this long non-coding RNA (526 nucleotides) under Homo sapiens (human). RNAcentral describes it as "non-protein coding lnc-CTNNA3-3:1". Lineage: Eukaryota; Metazoa; Chordata; Mammalia; Primates; Hominidae. The record is from RNAcentral.
UGUUGACAGUGGGGUGUUAAAGUCUCCCAUUAUUAUUGUGUGGCAAUCUAAGUCUCUUUGUAGGUCUCUAAGGACUUGCUUUAUGAAUCUGGGUGCUCCUGUAUUGGGUGCACCCAAUAUUUGGGAUAGUUAGUUCUUCUUGUUGAAUUGAUCCCUUUACCAUUAUGUAAUGGCCUUCUUUGUCUUUUUUGAUCUUUGUUGGUUUAAAGUCUGUUUUAUCAGAGACUAGGAUUGCAACACCUGCCUUUUUUGUUUUCCAUUUGCUUGGUAGAUCUUCCUCUAUCCCUUUAUUUUGAUCCUAUGUGUGUCUGUGCACGUGAAAUGGGUUUCCUGAAUGCAGCACACUGAUGGGUCUUGACUCUUUAUCCAGUUUGCCAGUCUGUGUCUUUUAAUUGGAGCAUUUAGCCCAUUUACAUUUAAGGUUAAUAUUGUUAUGUGUGAAUUUGAUCCUAUCAUUAUGAUGUUAGCUGGUUAUUUUGCUCAUUAGUUGACGCAGUUUCUUCCUAGCCUCGAUGGUCUUUAGAAU